AUACCUCCUGGUUUCUGCAUACAGAAAUGAAUAAUCAUCAUCUGUGAUGCCAAUGUAGUCAGGUAGUGUGGAAAUUGGAUUUGUCAUUAUGGUCAUUCAUAUGACUGCUGAUUCAAAUUUGAUCGUGUGGGAUCACCUCAGCUGGUGCUGCACAGAGCAUGUAAAAGCAAUGAUAAUUCCGCUCUGGGUCAGAUACUUGGCAAACACGUGAUCUCUCAAGAAGAUAUGUCCGAACUGCCGCACCAGAGAUCUUUCCGUGCUUAUCAAAUUGGAUCUCUACAAAUUUACCAAAACGACUGGCAUCUGCAACAGCAAAAAGAUGGGGACUUAGCUCACCAAAAGCAGCCCCUUUAUAUUGUUCCAUCAUGUGGAUGUCAUACAAGUGUGGCAGUCUCCGGAAGGGAUUGACUGCUAUUAGAAUAUUCCCG
Molecule: long non-coding RNA, 428 nt
Organism: Diospyros lotus (date-plum)
Lineage: Eukaryota; Viridiplantae; Streptophyta; Magnoliopsida; Ericales; Ebenaceae
Exons: 3
Source: RefSeq, a predicted model, not a curated record